AUACCGCAUAANGUCGCAAGACCAAAGUGGGGGACCUUCGGGCCUCAUGCCAUCAGAUGUGCCCAGAUGGGAUUAGCUAGUAGGUGGGGUAACGGCUCACCUAGGCGACGAUCCCUAGCUGGUCUGAGAGGAUGACCAGCCACACUGGAACUGAGACACGGUCCAGACUCCUACGGGAGGCAGCAGUGGGGAAUAUUGCACAAUGGGCGCAAGCCUGAUGCAGCCAUGCCGCGUGUGUGAAGAAGGCCUUCGGGUUGUAAAGCACUUUCAGCGGGGAGGAAGGCGAUNAGGUUAAUAACCUNNUCGAUUGACGUUACCCGCAGAAGAAGCACCGGCUAACUCCGUGCCAGCAGCCGCGGUAAUACGGAGGGUGCAAGCGUUAAUCGGAAUUACUGGGCGUAAAGCGCACGCAGGCGGUCUGUCAAGUCGGAUGUGAAAUCCCCGGGCUCAACCUGGGAACUGCAUUCGAAACUGGCAGGCUAGAGUCUUGUAGAGGGGGGUAGAAUUCCAGGUGUAGCGGUGAAAUGCGUAGAGAUCUGGAGGAAUACCGGUGGCGAAGGCGGCCCCCUGGACAAAGACUGACGCUCAGGUGCGAAAGCGUGGGGAGCAAACAGGAUUAGAUACCCUGGUAGUCCACGCCGUAAACGAUGUCGAUUUGGAGGUUGUGCCCUUGAGGCGUGGCUUCCGGAGCUAACGCGUUAAAUCGACCGCCUGGGGAGUACGGCCGCAAGGUUAAAACUCAAAUGAAUUGACGGGGGCCCGCACAAGCGGUGGAGCAUGUGGUUUAAUUCGAUGCAACGCGAAGAACCUUACCUGGUCUUGACAUCCACAGAACAUUCCAGAGAUGGAUUGGUGCCUUCGGGAACUGUGAGACAGGUGCUGCAUGGCUGUCGUCAGCUCGUGUUGUGAAAUGUUGGGUUAAGUCCCGCAACGAGCGCAACCCUUAUCCUUUGUUGCCAGCGGUUAGGCCGGGAACUCAAAGGAGACUGCCAGUGAUAAACUGGAGGAAGGUGGGGAUGACGUCAAUUCAUCAUGGCCCUUACGACCA
This 1048-nucleotide ribosomal RNA is filed under the name Klebsiella pneumoniae. RNAcentral's name for it is "bacterial SSU rRNA". It matches the Rfam family "Bacterial small subunit ribosomal RNA", at positions 166 to 1210 of the family's 1533-position model. The record is from RNAcentral. Lineage: Bacteria; Pseudomonadati; Pseudomonadota; Gammaproteobacteria; Enterobacterales; Enterobacteriaceae.